GACGUAGGGCGCGAGCGUUGUCCGGAUUUAUUGGGCGUAAAGAGCUCGUAGGCGGCUUGUCGCGUCGACUGUGAAAACCCGUGGCUCAACCAUGUGGUCUGCAGUCGAUACGGGCAGGCUAGAAUUCGGUAGGGGAGACUGGAAUUCCUGGUGUAGCGGUGAAAUGCGCAGAUAUCAGGAGGAACACCGGUGGCGAAGGCGGGUCUCUGGGCCGAUACUGACGCUGAGGAGCGAAAGCGUGGGGAGCGAACAGG
This 254-nucleotide ribosomal RNA is filed under the name uncultured bacterium. RNAcentral's name for it is "partial 16S ribosomal RNA". It matches the Rfam family "Bacterial small subunit ribosomal RNA", at positions 524 to 776 of the family's 1533-position model. The record is from RNAcentral.